Molecule: ribosomal RNA, 780 nt
Filed under: uncultured Neocallimastigales
Lineage: Eukaryota; Fungi; Neocallimastigomycota; Neocallimastigomycetes; Neocallimastigales
Description: partial large subunit ribosomal RNA
Rfam family: Eukaryotic large subunit ribosomal RNA
Source: RNAcentral
UAUCUCUGUAGAGUCUGCAUAUCAAUAAGCGGAGGAAAAGAAACUAACUAGGAUUCCCUCAGUAACGGCGAGUGAAGCGGGAAGAGCUCAAAUUUGAAAUCUUCAAGGUUCUACCUUGACGAAUUGUAGUUUAAAGAAGUGUUUUCUGUUGGAGUUUUGGUAAAAGUUCUUUGGAAUAGGACAUCAUAGAGGGUGAGAAUCCCGUAUUUGACCAUUACUUCCAGCUUUGUGAUACACUUUCAAAGAGUCGGAUUGUUUGGGAAUGCAGUCCAAAAUGGGUGGUAAAUUUCAUCUAAAGCUAAAUACUGGCGAGAGACCGAUAGCGAACAAGUACCGUGAGGGAAAGAUGAAAAGAACUUUGAAAAGAGAGUUAAACAGUACGUGAAAUUGUCAAAAGGGAAGCGUUUGACACCAGUGUUGUUUUCUCGAAAAUCAAUUAAAGAAAGUUGAUUUAUGUAAGUGUUAGACCUUUAUCAGCUUAUCUGUAGCUCUUUUCUUGAGCUUUUCUUUAAUGCACUUUUCAGUUAACAAGUCAACAUCAAUUUCUUUUGUUGUAAAAGAGUCAUUGGAAGGUGGCUUUCACUUCGGUGAAAGUGUUUAUAGCCUUUGGCUUCUGCAAUCGGAGAGAUUGAGGUCUGCAGCGUAGAUCCUUCGGGGCUAGAUACGUAGAUGCUAAGUUAUAGUUUUUUAUAGACAACUUGUUGACUAUAAUUAAUCAUGUAGCUUACUCGUUUGCGCUAUUUUACCUACGCUUAGGAUGUUGACGAUCAGCUGAGCGCG